GAGUUGCAAAGCGCUGUGUACGUGUAUGCAUCGUUGUUGGUUCGUCCGCACCUCCGAUCAGGCAUUAGCCCUACCAUACUGAUAGCUUGUCACACAGCUCUCAGUUUGUUGCAGAACGAGAGUGUAGGGUCUGGACAGCUCGUUUGUUCGGACACGCGCAUCAGCAUGCCCUUUGUAGACUACAACUGAUUCAAUUCGAUCGGUGUUGGCAGAGUGUUCUAGGCGAUGCACUCAGCCAGCGGUAUAGCCAGCGGUCUUGUAACAUAUUGAGCGGAGAAUUGCACCAUUGGGAGAAGCCAUAAAGUUAGUUUUGCAGCUGGCAGGUGCGCGGUAGUGAACCGCGCGGGAACUACACACCGUGGUCUCCACCUCCUUCGUGAUCCACAUACUGUUGACGAGAUCUGUGGAAAUUGCACCAUUGGGAAGUGGCUGAUUGGCGUGUCAGAUGUCGGGUCAGUAAGCUUUCGGCUCACAGAAUGGCAUCUUUCCAAAAUGAGCUUGUGGACCUGUGCGUACGGGACAAGGCUGAAGAGAUAGAGGCCAAGCUUCUUGUGAACGGCCAGGUUAUUGAUCUUGCUUUCAAUGAAUACCAUCGAAGUUCCAGAUAUUCCAGAGUGUCAUUUCUGGUGAGUAUGAAGCAUAUUCCGUAAAUCCGUCCGCAGCCUGCACAUUUGCAUUUCUUUUCACAUGCAUUUGUUUUUCUAUUGGCAAGAAAGCCAGAGAGCGCAUGUGGUGAAGGUGGAAUUGCUUUAUUGAUAAACAGCCCGAAACCUGCUGCUUACCAAGAAAGGACAAAUAUAUAACAUUUACUGCAGAAGUUUUCCGUCUGAAGUAGUGUUCAAUGGAAUACGAGUAUGAGGUACGCUAUAUUUGUUCUCACGAAUGAGCCGGAUAAUCUCUCACUAU
Sycon ciliatum is the source of this 906-nucleotide long non-coding RNA. RefSeq lists it as uncharacterized. The transcript has 3 exons. NCBI's taxonomy places the organism in Eukaryota, Metazoa, Porifera, Calcarea, Leucosolenida, Sycettidae. The record is from RefSeq and is a predicted model, not a curated record.